GGGUAACUUGGGAUAGUAAGCCAGGUAGAAGGCCAGUGCUCCCACAAAACUGUCUCCAGCUCCCUAGAAUAAAAUAACAAGUUCAAGCAUUCUCGCACAGGGAAACACACUGAUUGCAGGAGUCAGGAAGGUGUUCAGGAGUUGAGUUCAAUUCACUUUUCUAUGCCUAGAAAAUUCUGCCAUGUUAAACUAACGCCACCAUACUAUCUUUCUGCCCAGCUGUUGAAUCAAGGUACAAGCUAUAAUAUGGCUUAAAACUUCAAGAAAAGGAAAAGCUAGUGUGCUACAGUUCAGCAAUGUGCUGUUAUAAACACUGUUUUUGAAACUUCCUGUUGCUGGAGUGUCUGAUUUUGAUUGCUCAACCUGAAUGUUUCAUUAAAGCUAUUUUUCUCUCA
This is a long non-coding RNA of Aquila chrysaetos chrysaetos, 395 nucleotides long. RefSeq lists it as uncharacterized. The record is from RefSeq and is a predicted model, not a curated record. Lineage: Eukaryota; Metazoa; Chordata; Aves; Accipitriformes; Accipitridae. The transcript has 2 exons.